AGAGCGAACGCUGGCGGCAGGCCUAACACAUGCAAGUCGAGCGCCCCGCAAGGGGAGCGGCAGACGGGAGAGUAACACGUGGGAACGUACCCUUCAGUUCGGAACAACCCAGGGAAACUUGGGCUAAUACCGAAUACGUCCGUAAGGAGAAAGAUUUAUCGCUGAAGGAUCGGCCCGCGUCUGAUUAGCUUGUUGGUGAGGUAACGGCUCACCAAGGCGACGAUCAGUAGCUGGUCUGAGAGGAUGAUCAGCCUCACUGGGACUGAGACACGGCCCAGACUCCUACGGGAGGCAGCAGUGGGGAAUAUUGGACAAUGGGCGCAAGCCUGAUCCAGCCAUGCCGCGUGGGUGAUGAAGGCCCUAGGGUUGUAAAGCCUUUUAACGGGGAAGAUAAUGACGGUACCCGUAGAAUAAGCCCGGCUAACUUCGUGCCAGCAGCCGC
RNAcentral lists this ribosomal RNA (442 nucleotides) under uncultured bacterium. Its description in RNAcentral is "SSU rRNA". It matches the Rfam family "Bacterial small subunit ribosomal RNA", at positions 26 to 518 of the family's 1533-position model. The record is from RNAcentral.